UACGAAGGGGGCUAGCGUUGUUCGGAUUCACUGGGCGUAAAAAGUGCGUAGGCGGUCAGAUAAGUCUGAUGUGAAAUCUUCGAGCUCAACUCGGAAACUGCAUCGGAAACUAUCUGGCUAGAGGAUUGGAGGGGAGACUGGAAUUCUCGGUGUAGCAGUGAAAUGCGUAGAUAUCGAGAGGAACACCAGUGGCGAAGGCGAGUCUCUGGACAAUUCCUGACGCUGAGGCACGAAAGCUAGGGGAGCAAACAGG
This 253-nucleotide ribosomal RNA is filed under the name uncultured bacterium. RNAcentral's name for it is "partial 16S ribosomal RNA". It matches the Rfam family "Bacterial small subunit ribosomal RNA", at positions 524 to 776 of the family's 1533-position model. The record is from RNAcentral.